Molecule: long non-coding RNA, 226 nt
Filed under: Elaeis guineensis (African oil palm)
Lineage: Eukaryota; Viridiplantae; Streptophyta; Magnoliopsida; Arecales; Arecaceae
Description: long non-coding RNA (EGUI_LNC016587)
Source: RNAcentral
GACCAGGUGACUGGGAUGCAGUAAUAAUUUUAAUAUUUGUUAAAAUAUUUAAGGAAGAAAAAAAAUUUACUAUCCGUAUUUUAAUAGCAUUUGAUGUAUCUCAAAAAUUAUAUAUGUUGGGGCAUAUUUAGUUCUAUAUUAAUUAUAAAUUAAAAAAAAUAUAAUUUAUAUAGAUCAAAAUUAUCUCUUUUUUUAUGAAACAUCUUUUAAAGAAUAAAAUUAUGUG